RNAcentral lists this ribosomal RNA (468 nucleotides) under uncultured bacterium. RNAcentral describes it as "partial 16S ribosomal RNA". It matches the Rfam family "Bacterial small subunit ribosomal RNA", at positions 28 to 507 of the family's 1533-position model. The record is from RNAcentral.
GACGAACGCUGGCGGCGUGCUUAACACAUGCAAGUCGAACGGAAAGGCCCUGCUUUUGUGGGGUGCUCGAGUGGCGAACGGGUGAGUAACACGUGAGUAACCUGCCCUUGACUUUGGGAUAACUUCAGGAAACUGGGGCUAAUACCGGAUAGGAGCUCCUGCUGCAUGGUGGGGGUUGGAAAGUUUCGGCGGUUGGGGAUGGACUCGCGGCUUAUCAGCUUGUUGGUGGGGUAGUGGCUUACCAAGGCUUUGACGGGUAGCCGGCCUGAGAGGGUGACCGGCCACAUUGGGACUGGAAUACGGCCCAGACUCCUACGGGAGGCAGAAGUGGGGAAUAUUGCACAAUGGGCGGAAGCCAGAUGCAGCAACGCCGCGUGCGGGAUGACGGCCUUCGGGUUGUAAACCGCUUUCGCCUGUGACGAAGCGUGAGUGACGGUAAUGGGUAAAGAAGCACCGGCUAACUACGUG